RNAcentral lists this ribosomal RNA (1110 nucleotides) under Triticum aestivum (bread wheat). RNAcentral describes it as "partial small subunit ribosomal RNA". Lineage: Eukaryota; Viridiplantae; Streptophyta; Magnoliopsida; Poales; Poaceae. The record is from RNAcentral.
AUGCAUUGGUAUACUUGGUGGAAACUCUGCUAUCCGAAGAGUGAAGGGGGGAUGGGAUUUCGAGAUCUAUAUUCUUUUAAUCUGGCAAUGCUCUCUAAGCAAUGUUGGAGAUUAAUAAAUAAUCCAGAGUCGUUAUGUGCAAGAGUACGAAAGGCAAAGUACUUUCCGAAUGGGAUCUUAUUGCAGGCCACUCUUAAGAAUGGGGCUUCUUUUACCUGGCAAAGCAUUAUGAAGGGCUUAGAGACCUUUAAACUGGGAUAUAUCUGGCGAAUUGGGACUGGAGAGAAAGUGAACAUCUAGAGGGAUCCUUGGAUUCCUAGCAGUGCAGACAGGAAGGUGAUUACCCCGCGUGGACACACUUUUCUAGCCACGGUUAAUUACCUUAUCGACCCUACAAGUGGUAAUUGGGACGAAGAGUUGAUUACUUCAAUUUUCAACCCUGUUGAUGUUCGCAGAAUUUUGGAAAUUCCGCUUAACUACAAUGCUUUUGAUGAUUUCAUAGCAUGGCAUCCAAAUCGCAAAAGUAUCUUUUCAGUCCGCUCUGCUUACCACACCCAAUGGUUCCGAACGUUCCGGGCACAUGCAAGCGGGUUAGCACAGUCGGGGAGGUCCAGUACUCCAGCUGUAUGGAGUACAUUGUGGAAGCUUCAAAUCCCACGUAAAGUUCAAAAAAAAAUUUGGCGAGCACUCCAUGGAAUAUUACCUCUAAAGUCUAUAAUGACUAAUAGGCAUGUUGGGUCAGAUGGAGCUUGCCCUAUUUGUCACCGAGCGGCGGAAGAUGUGAAGCACCUUCUUUUCGAAUGCCCUCACGCUACAGAACUGUGGUCACGAGUAGGAAUUAUGGAUUACAUCAAAGAAGUGAAAAUGGUUGAUCAUUCUGGGUCGAUCAUCUUGGAGUACAUUCUCUCAGCCCCAGCAAGACAAGUACCACUCAAGCCCAAUCUGGAUGUGAAGAAACUGAUCAUGGUCGGAGGAUGGUACCUUUGGUGGAUCAGGCGUGAGAUCACUCAUAAUGGAUCUCCCCCGCCCCCUUUUAAAUGGCCAAUGUCAAUCCUUGCGAUAGCUAACAACUUUCAGCAAGCGAAUGCAAAGAAAAACACUUCAGCGUAA